UUACCACUCUGGCCUUUUGGCUUAGAUCAAGUGUAGUAUCUGUUCUUAAUAGUUUAACCACUAUUAUGGAGGCACCGCCUCCAUUCUUGGUUAUCUAAUUUUUGCCGCCCCAGUUCCUCGUCCUCUGCUUGCACGACUUGGGCGCGAUGACUCUGCCGCUGCACUACUGGCUUAUGUCGUCGGGGGAUC
Molecule: small nuclear RNA, 189 nt
Organism: Agaricus bisporus var. burnettii JB137-S8
Lineage: Eukaryota; Fungi; Basidiomycota; Agaricomycetes; Agaricales; Agaricaceae
Rfam family: U2 spliceosomal RNA
About the family: U2 is a small nuclear RNA (snRNA) component of the spliceosome (involved in pre-mRNA splicing). Complementary binding between U2 snRNA (in an area lying towards the 5' end but 3' to hairpin I) and the branchpoint sequence (BPS) of the intron results the bulging out of an unpaired adenosine, on the BPS, which initiates a nucleophilic attack at the intronic 5' splice site, thus starting the first of two transesterification reactions that mediate splicing.
Source: Rfam